ACACCUCAACUCCUCAUGGUUUGCCAUGAUGGGCUUGGACUUUGGGGGCUUUGCUGGCUACUAUGGUCGGCUCCUCUCAAACAAAUCAGCUUGCCAGUGUUUGGUGGCGUCACGGGUGUGAUAACUAUCUACGCUUGUGGUCUCCCCACCAGGUAACCUUCAGCAACGGAGGUUCACUGGGGCUCAUAAACGUCUCUCCUCUGUGAGAGACAGCAUUUUGAAC
RNAcentral lists this unclassified non-coding RNA (223 nucleotides) under uncultured Tomentella. RNAcentral describes it as "sequence contains ITS2". RNAcentral also lists the same sequence under 1 other name. Lineage: Eukaryota; Fungi; Basidiomycota; Agaricomycetes; Thelephorales; Thelephoraceae. The record is from RNAcentral.